GACGAACCGUGCAAACGUUAUUCGGAAUCACUGGGCUUAAAGGGCGCGUAGGCGGGCUGUCAAGUCUGGGGUGAAAUCCCGCGGCUCAACCGUGGAACUGCCUCAGAUACUGACGGCCUCGAGGGAGGUAGGGGCAUGCGGAACUGUAGGUGGAGCGGUGAAAUGCGUUGAUAUCUACAGGAACUCCGGUGGCGAAAGCGGCGUGCUGGACCUCUUCUGACGCUGAGGCACGAAAGUGAGGGGAGCGAACGGG
RNAcentral lists this ribosomal RNA (253 nucleotides) under uncultured bacterium. RNAcentral's name for it is "partial 16S ribosomal RNA". It matches the Rfam family "Bacterial small subunit ribosomal RNA", at positions 524 to 776 of the family's 1533-position model. The record is from RNAcentral.